This 253-nucleotide ribosomal RNA is filed under the name uncultured bacterium. RNAcentral's name for it is "partial 16S ribosomal RNA". It matches the Rfam family "Bacterial small subunit ribosomal RNA", at positions 524 to 776 of the family's 1533-position model. The record is from RNAcentral.
UACGUAGGGUGCGAGCGUUGUCCGGAAUUAUUGGGCGUAAAGAGCUCGUAGGCGGUUUGUCGCGUCUGCCGUGAAAGUCCGGGGCUCAACUCCGGAUCUGCGGUGGGUACGGGCAGACUAGAGUGAUGUAGGGGAGACUGGAAUUCCUGGUGUAGCGGUGAAAUGCGCAGAUAUCAGGAGGAACACCGAUGGCGAAGGCAGGUCUCUGGGCAUUAACUGACGCUGAGGUGCGAAAGCAUGGGGAGCGAACAGG